This 493-nucleotide ribosomal RNA is filed under the name uncultured bacterium. RNAcentral describes it as "partial 16S ribosomal RNA". It matches the Rfam family "Bacterial small subunit ribosomal RNA", at positions 30 to 506 of the family's 1533-position model. The record is from RNAcentral.
AUUGAACGCUGGCGGCAUGCUUUACACAUGCAAGUCGAACGGCAGCGGGGAGGAGCUUGCUUCUCUGCCGGCGAGUGGCGAACGGGUGAGUAAUACAUCGGAACGUGUCGAGAAGAGGGGGAUAACCACCCGAAAGGGUGGCUAAUACCGCAUAAAUUCUGAGGAAGAAAGCUGGGGACCUAGGAAUAGGCCUAGCGCUUUUUGAGCGGCCGAUGUCGGAUUAGCUAGUUGGUGAGGUAAAGGCUCACCAAGGCGAAGAUCUGUAGCGGGUCUGAGAGGAUGAUCCGCCACACUGGGACUGAGACACGGCCCAGACUCCUACGGGAGGCAGCAGUGGGGAAUUUUGGACAAUGGGGGCAACCCUGAUCCAGCCAUGCCGCGUGUAUGAAGAAGGCCUUAGGGUUGUAAAGUACUUUUGUUAGGGAAGAAAAGUCAGCUGUGAAUAAUGGCUGAUACUGACGGUACCUAAAGAAUAAGCACCGGCGAACUACGU